GGCCCGGCGGCCGGGGAGGGCUGGCCGGGUGGGGGAGCGCGGGCCGCCGAGGAGGCGGCUUCCCUCUGCGGCCGGUCGGAGGCUCCGGGGCGCAGCCGCCGCGCGUGGAGCUCGGGAGCGCCUCGCGGACGGGACCACCUGGGACAGCAGGCGCUCCGCCUCCCCACCUUCCCAAUCGGGUCAGUUUCAGGCACAGGGAAUUCAGCAGUAAAGGAUGGAGCCUGCAUUCCAACCAGGCUGUCUGGGUCUCAGGGUACUGCUGUGCAUGAGUACCGAGGCUGAGGAGAGGUGCCCCUGAGGAGGCAUGCUCAGAGGCCUGCCAGCGUCCAGCCAUCUUUACUGCCCACUAGAGUGUGUGUCCUGGCCUCGGGCAGGGGCUGCAGAGAGCGGCCAGGGGACCCGAAGCUCCUGCAGCCCCUGCCAGGUGCUCCUAGGUGGACUAGGAGGAGAGAUUGCUGGAAAUGAGCUGCCCUGGGAACCACCAGAGGGAAGGGUGGCAGGCAGGCCAGCUGCCAACCACCUGCAGGCUGGCAGGCAGGGGCUGCUUGCUGGAGGAGGAGCCUGGCAGGAAGCUGGGGAAACAGACAGCUGACCCCUCCCCUCCUGUGCAGCCCCAAGGAAAGGGAGCUGCUGUUCUGGGGACUUUGCAGAGAGACAUCACCCCAGUGUCCCCAGAUUCUCUUCUGUCAAUGGGCCCAGUCCAGCCCUCCCUUCUCCACAGGGGUCCUAACCCGACCACCCAGCUAAAUGGACCAGGGCACCCACCCCGACAGGGCUGCAGCCUGCCCUCAGAGCAUGCCCACCCGCCUCAGCUCUGUGAGGACACAGACAUGUCUGUCCUUGAAGCCCCAGUGCUGAAAAGCGUCCUGGCAAGUAGUAAGCACCCUAGGUAUUUGUCACAUGAGCGCACCUGUCCUAGAUUUAUCACUGAGGAAGCUGUAGCUCAUGGAAAUUGAGUAACUUGCCUGAAGGCACAGGGCCCUGGAAUGACGGAGGUCUGACUCCAGGUGCCCAAGAGAGCAGCCUGCUGCUGCUCCGCUCUCCCCACCCGGCCCUGUUUCUCUUUGGCUCCUCCGCAGGAGCCUUCCCUUUGGGUGGAGGGCGUGCCACAGCCUAGCUGCCUGUGCCUGGCACUGGGCAGCCACAUGUACAAGCCUUAUCCUGCCAGCUGCCUGUGAUUCACUCCUCACUGGGAGCCCAGCCCUUAUGCCAGAGUCGGGAGAGGGAGGCCAGGCAGAAGGGGUGUGUGUGUCCUCAACCCCUCCCUUAAGCAAGUCAAAUCUGAUAGCCCUUCGUGUGGGUGGAUGGCCCAAGGCCCGCCUGCCUGCCUGCCUCCCACGGUUGCUCUCAGCUGGGGAAAUACGGAUAUGAAACUUCUCUGGGAACCUUGUGCCAGCAGUAGGGCUGGGGUGGGGGUGGGGGGUCCCCCUGUGUGGCCACAGAGCUGGAGGACCAGGACCAGGCGCUCAGAACCAGCCUCUUCCCGUGGCCUCCCUGGGCUGGGCUCCUUCUGCCCUUCCUGGGUUAUUCAUUUAAAGAUCCUUUAAUGGCCACACACCAGCUUGUAAAAGCCUAUAGCUCAGACUGCUCCCCGCCCUCAAGGGGCCCUUCCAGAGCAGCAGCAAAAUGCAGGAAACUUGGACACACCAGAGAGCAGGGGCACUCAGCAAGAGGGCCACCUCGGAGGAGACCUACCUGCCGACACCUUGACCUUGGGCUUCGAGCCUCUGUGAACCAGAAGGGCUUCCUCCCUAUGAAGUCAGCCGCAUGACUUAACCUCAGAGGACACCUGCUCCAGCUGCUGCCUAGCUGCCAGGAUUGCUGCCCUCUGCCCUCCGCCCUUUGCCCUGCACCCAGGAGGAGGAGCUUUCCAUUUGCCACUUCACCUGUUAAGGCCGACUGCCCAGAAGAACUGUCUUGGGCCCAUAGAGAUAAUUUACGCAAUGCUCAUCCAUACGUUGCACACAUGACCCAGAUAAUAACUGCUGGAAAUGGAGUUAUUUACCCAUUUUACAGAUGGAAAGACUGAGACUCAAAAAACUGACCUGACCUGCUGAAGUUACACGGAAAGGUAAUUAGACGGGUGGGUGCCCCAGUGUCACACUGGUGUGGGGUCUGAAAUGUGGGAACAGAAGGUCCACACCAGCACAAACCAUGUCCACAGAGGACACGGCCCUGGGUACUCAGGUGGGGCCAAUCUGUUCUACCCUGGAGGGAACACAGGACUGUCUUGCCUGACCUGCUCUUGCAAGAAGGUAGAGCUGCCCCCACCCAGCCUCAGCUCCAGAGGCCAGACCUGCCCACCUGGAAAAGCCCAGUCCUGGGCUGGAAUGGAGGGCGGACCAAGGGGAGUGGUGGCCAGAGGGUGGAUCUGAGCUGGAAGGGCCAGUGAUUUGUGGCUAGCUGAAAAUAAUACCAAAGGUGGCCAGGAUGGAGGCGGCUCACACACCUGGGGGCGGUGGAGAGUGCCACAACCAGGGACAGGAGGGCCCAGAGGCCAGGCUGGUUCUCGACCCUGUGGGCUUCCCAGGCCUGUCAGGGUGAUGGCCUCGGUUGGGCCCCAACAGGCCUCCUCUCACUGUGCUAGCACCCCCUUAUUUUCAUCCUCAAGGUGAUACUACUCUGCAGAUGAGGAAAUAGUCCCAGUGAGGUUAGGGACCCAGGUCAGGGUUGUCCAGGGACCACGGUGGAACUGGAAAGGAAGCAGGGCUGGGGAGCUCUGAGCCAGCCAUGCACCACCAGGCCACCCUGUCACACAUUCCGGGCCUCCUCCCCCGACAGGGAGUGGGCUCCUCGGCCCUGAGAGCAGGACAGCCAGCUGUCCCUGGGGGCUGUCGUUGCCUCAGCAGCAGACUCUUCUGGGGAAAAGGCCAGCCCCUGCUGGGCGGACGCAGGGGCUGUCCAGGGUGGGAGGGAGACACCCCUCUCCAUCCCUGCCGCUGAAGGAUAGCUGGACAGCUGGGUGGGUCCAGAUGUAAAGGAGGGGUGCGCGGCCCACAGUGCUGGCGGGUAGGGGUGCGGGAAGGGCCCUACCCAAGUCCUUUGUCCUGUGAGCCUGCCUCCCCCAGGUCUCUGGUGGAAUGUCCACUUCUGGCUGAUGCGAGGUGGCCUUGACUCCUCUGGGAGGGGGAGAGGGGACGGGGAGCUGCUGUGGUAUCCAGGCUUGUGGGAGGCUCCCACUGGUGGCAUCUGCAGCCAAGCACGAACCCGGCUGAGAGGAAUCUGCACACCAUAGUCCUGUGGAGCGGGAGGCUGGGAUUGGAAAAUACCCUACCUCGUGCCCAGGCUGCUGGGGACAGAGCUGAGGUGACUACUACACAGGGAAGCUGUAAACUGAUUUUCAGACCGAUAAGGGAGGCUGGACUGCUUUACUCGGCAUGUUUAUUUGCCUUUUUAUGUUUGAGGUCUAUACAAAACGUAGAGAGGAAAUAGCAAAGGCCAGGAGCCCAGCGAUCUGAUUCAACCAGGGGGAGGGGAGGUGGGCACUGGUAACUUCCAUUAACCUGGGGUGGGUGGCAGGUGGGUCUGGGGACAGGAGGGCAGGGAUUGGGCUGCCUUUGGAGCCCUGUAACCCAAGUGAAAGGGGAAAACCUGCUUCAAACAAACCCAUGCAAAUGCAAAUCACAGGUUCUGGGAAAGUAGGUUUUAAGGGGCAAAAACUAACACCGUCUGCUCAACCUAGAAAUUUUGCAGCACAAAGCGUCCAGCACCGAGUCCACAAACAAAAUCAAACCCCAAACAAGAAAGGAGAAAAAUCCGUGGAGGCAACGUGAAUCCCAAGCUGAUCUUGGAGAGUGACUGAAAUCAGCUGCUGUGGGGCCACCUGAGAAGCUGGUUGGCGGUGAUGGGUGCCAGAGGACACUGUGGGAGAACAGGCUGCAGGGCCCACGAGGGCCAUGAAGGUGCUCUGGGGAGCCACAGCCGUACACAGCUUGUGUGGCAGGGCAGGGAAAGCUCGGGGAGGUAAAAGCCCUGGCAUUGGAGUUCAGUGUGACAUCGUCAAAUCAGGGCAUCUGGAUCUGCUUGCCUCUCCCCCUUUACAGAUGGGAAAACUGAGGCCAGCGGGGCAGCAGCCUCUGAAGGACAGGAAUGCAGCCAUUCCUGCGACUCCCUCUCACUGAGCCUUGCUGUGUGCUGGGAACUGAGAGGGCAGGGCCCCAGCCCUGGCAGAGCUGGACAGGGGCUCCCACCCCAAGCCUUUCAGUGUCAAUGCCCUCUGGCACCCUGCACUAUGUCAGUCGGGACCCACUUCACAGCACUGUUCGGAGGAGAAGCUGCUUGUCCCCAUUUUACAGAUGAGGGACUUGAGGCCCAGAGGGGCAGUCUGCUCCCAGGACUGGGCCUGGAGCCCUGCUUCAUCUGAGCUAAAACAGCCCCACUUUCUGUUUCUGCAAACCAGCUCCCACAUCAGCAACUGGAGAGUGCCAUCAGAACCUUUUUUGUUAGGGAAACAUCCAAGAACUCUCCCAACCAUACUGGAAGAUCAACAAGGACCUCUGAAAGCCUUCCCUGAAGCUCUGACACCCAAGGGCCCCCGGAGGUGUUCACAGGGUGGGGCGGGAGGAAGCUGCCCUUGUUUGCUUGCCAUCCCUGGGUGAAGGUGACACAGGACGUGGGCAAGCAACCUGGGCAUAGAUGCAAGUCAUGCAUCUCGUUUCUAGAACUCCUUGCGGGAAGCUGCCCUGGCCUAGGAUCUGAGAUUAAAAAUCACAUCUGUACUUGUUCGGAAGAUCAUGAAACACACCCAGGAAGGACGGGGUGUUCCAGCAGAGCUCCCGGGACGGGCUGAUCCUCCUGCUUGCUCUCGCAGCCAAAGGGAUCCUUGCGACAUGGGAAUCCAGAUCGCAGCGGAACCCCCGCCCUGUGCCCAGGGCUCUCCGUGUCGGCCCCCCCACUCCGCUCCUGCUCACUUUGCCCAGCCAAGCCCGUUCCCGCCUCAGGACUUUGAACAUGCCAGCUCCUUUCCUCUGAAUGCCCUCCUGACCCUUGACCCCGGGCCCUCGGCUGCCUGUGGCUUUGGAUAUCCGGUCACCCCAGUCUCUGCUUAAAGGUCGAGUGAGGGCCACUUGCCCCUCCGGUCCCUGUCAUCACAUGGCGUUUAGCACCACCUGAUGCUCUUGCAAGUGUUUCUGUGCAUGUUUGCCACAGCCUGUCGUCCACACUCGAAUGGGGCAGGGGUCCCCAGUGCCUAACUGUGGGCUCUGCACUGUGACGCAGAGUCUCGGAUUGUUGACAAUCCGCUUGUUGACAAACGCUGCUCUGAUAACAGAAGCUGUGCAAGGUGUGGAGCAGGGUGACCCAGACGGACCGCGCCGCUUGCCAGGGCGACAGCCCCUCCGCUGCCCUCCUUUGUUGCCAUGUAGGAACGUGGACCCUGUCAGCGGGCUGUUGGAGUCUCCCAGAGAGGCCAGAAAACCACGUCUUCUGGUGAAACUCAGUGACUUUUAAAAUAUUGACAGCUAAUUCCAAUCUAAAAUAUAAAACAUUGGCAGGACAGCAAAACCCGGAUGCAGGCAGAGGUGUUCAGAGACCAGCCCAUUUGUGUGACGUCUGGUUCAAACCGCAGGAGUUAAGCUAGACUGGAAAGGUCAUUAUUCAAUGACAGAGAUUGACAAGCACAAAACAGCAGCGGGUGCGCGGCUGCCCCUAACAAAGAAGCGGAUUUGGAAAGGAAAGUUCAUGGUAGUGCAAAGAGGAAAUGAUGCCCUUGAUGGUGCACCUGCAGGCGGUUCAGCCAGGGCAGGACCACGGCCAGCUGGAGUGGAGACAGCUCAGAGCUCAGGCUCAAAGUCCAUGGUGCUGAGCUCACUUGGGAAGCAGGAGCAGGCAUACGAGGGAGCUGUUGCCCCAGGUGGGGUGGGGAAAAGCCGGGUUAAGCCAGGUAACAGGGUGAUGGGGCCCAGAGAAUGUUGCUGGCCAGUGGUGGCUAGGCCAGGCCACAUGUCUAAGCCACAUCCUGCUCUAGCUUGCUUUUUUUUUUUUUAA
Molecule: long non-coding RNA, 5985 nt
Organism: Manis javanica (Malayan pangolin)
Lineage: Eukaryota; Metazoa; Chordata; Mammalia; Pholidota; Manidae
Source: RefSeq, a predicted model, not a curated record